AGAGUUUGAUCCUGGCUCAGAACGAACGCUGGCGGCAUGCCUAACACAUGCAAGUCGAACGCUCUUGGGGCUUCGGCCGCAAGGGAGUGGCGCACGGGUGAGUAGCGCGUGGGAACCUGCCCUGUUGUGGGGGAUAACCGAGGGAAACUUCGGCUAAUACCGCAUGCGCCCCGGAGCAAUCCGGGGGAAAGAUUUAUCGCAGCAGGAGGGGCCCGCGUCGGAUUAGCUAGUUGGUGGGGUAACGGCCCACCAAGGCGAUGAUCCGUAGCUGGUCUGAGAGGAUGAUCAGCCACACUGGGACUGAGACACGGCCCAGACUCCUACGGGAGGCAGCAGUGGGGAAUAUUGGACAAUGGGCGCAAGCCUGAUCCAGCAAUGCCGCGUGAGUGAUGAAGGCCUUAGGGUUGUAAAGCUCUUUCGCCCGCGACGAUGAUGACGGUAGCGGGAGAAGAAGCCCCGGCUAACUUCGUGCCAGCAGCCGCGGUAAUACGAAGGGGGCGAGCGUUGUUCGGAUUUACUGGGCGUAAAGGGCGCGUAGGCGGCCGAUCAAGUCAGGCGUGAAAGCCCCGGGCUCAACCUGGGAAUGGCGCUUGGGACUGGUUGGCUUGAGUUCGGGAGAGGAGAGUGGAAUUCCCAGUGUAGAGGUGAAAUUCGUAGAUAUUGGGAAGAACACCGGUGGCGAAGGCGGCUCUCUGGACCGAUACUGACGCUGAGGCGCGAAAGCGUGGGGAGCAAACAGGAUUAGAUACCCCCGUAGUCC
This 760-nucleotide ribosomal RNA is filed under the name uncultured bacterium. RNAcentral describes it as "bacterial SSU rRNA". It matches the Rfam family "Bacterial small subunit ribosomal RNA", at positions 8 to 796 of the family's 1533-position model. The record is from RNAcentral.